UUCUAAAAUGGCAGAAAGAUGUAUAGGAUUUAAGCUCCUACAAGGAAGGCACUCUUCUUUUAGAAA
RNAcentral lists this transfer RNA (66 nucleotides) under Arcotheres purpureus. RNAcentral describes it as "tRNA-Leu". Lineage: Eukaryota; Metazoa; Arthropoda; Malacostraca; Decapoda; Pinnotheridae. The record is from RNAcentral.